UCUAGAAGAAUAAUAUGGGUCUUUGGAAGUUGCAGAUUGGAAAUCUGAUAUGCGAAUCUUUCUGAUCGAGUUAUACAGGAUUUUAGACCUUACCAUCGAUCUUUGAUCGAUUGUUGACUUGUGGUCAAUGAGCCUCAAACUAUUUUAGAAUGUCCUUAAGGAUGUGCCUUAUAUGAAUUACGUAUUCUAUUGAUAAGAGUUCUGAGAUGUGAUUCGAUAAUUGUUAUAAGCGUCAAUCGUUCGGGACUCCUCGAUGUGUGUGUAAGUGAAUCACAACGUGGACUCCAAGUGAGUGGAUAUUUUCCUUCUUAUCAUAUGUAUAUAAUUGAUAGUUCCAUAAACGUUUCUCAAUUGAUUUGUGCAUGUCACGUACAAAUAAUUAUUGUGAACUACGAAAUGCUUGAUCCCUGUUUAGGGAAUGUAGGCAGUCUGAUAAGACGUUAGAUGCAACCAUAAAAUAAACUAAAUGAGACUAAAUAAUUGAGACAAUAGCCUUGUUUGGGGAAUUGAGCAAUGUGAGGGAGAUUGGUGCAAAAUGUGAGAUUUAACCUUAUGUUUUAGUGGUUAAUUGUUGGUUAUAAAUCAAUGUAUGAAGAAUCAAGAAAUUAAAGUAAGGAAACGUAAGUAAUGAUAGUUGAUAGACUAGUGUCUAGUUGGGCUUAUCACUGAUGAUUACUCUCAAAAGUAAACAGUUUGGUAGUAGGGCGUUAUUGAUUGUACAUUUUUAUGCCGUAUGAUAUAUUUUGGGAAUAUUAUGAAAUGUUUGAGUUUAGAUUGCAUCAUGACAUAUUCAUAUGUAUAAUACCUGAACCUAAUUAUUGUGAAUGCUUUGAAGUGCUAAAUGACAUCGCGGAUGCCCAGGUAAGCUUCAAGUGAGUACAUGUUGAUGAUAGUGAUGGUAGUGAGCAUGAUUGUGUUGAGAUAUAUUAGAGCUCAUAAACCUGCACCCCGGUGUUAGUGCUCCCGCCCGUGGCCAUGGCACAGUCCUUCACAUGAUGUUCACCUCCCACACCUUAUGCUCACCUUGGAUCCAAGUUAGGUGCACAGUCUUGUCGUAUAGACCACUAUAGGUGUUUCCGACUCGUAGGUGACCUGC
Molecule: long non-coding RNA, 1096 nt
Filed under: Malus domestica (apple)
Lineage: Eukaryota; Viridiplantae; Streptophyta; Magnoliopsida; Rosales; Rosaceae
Description: long non-coding RNA (MDOM_LNC002075)
Source: RNAcentral